AAGACACCAUCUUCACCAAAUCU
RNAcentral lists this small nuclear RNA (23 nucleotides) under Arabidopsis thaliana (thale cress). Its description in RNAcentral is "snRNA_18131". The record is from RNAcentral. Lineage: Eukaryota; Viridiplantae; Streptophyta; Magnoliopsida; Brassicales; Brassicaceae.